This 245-nucleotide ribosomal RNA is filed under the name uncultured bacterium. RNAcentral's name for it is "partial 16S ribosomal RNA". It matches the Rfam family "Bacterial small subunit ribosomal RNA", at positions 524 to 768 of the family's 1533-position model. The record is from RNAcentral.
UACGUAGGGCGCAAGCGUUAUCCGGAAUUAUUGGGCGUAAAGAGCUCGUAGGCGGUUUGUCGCGUCUGCCGUGAAAGUCCGGGGCUCAACUCCGGAUCUGCGGUGGGUACGGGCAGACUAGAGUGAUGUAGGGGAGACUGGAAUUCCUGGUGUAGCGGUGAAAUGCGCAGAUAUCAGGAGGAACACCGAUGGCGAAGGCAGGUCUCUGGGCAUUAACUGACGCUGAGGAGCGAAAGCAUGGGGAG